RNAcentral lists this ribosomal RNA (497 nucleotides) under uncultured bacterium. RNAcentral's name for it is "partial 16S ribosomal RNA". It matches the Rfam family "Bacterial small subunit ribosomal RNA", at positions 28 to 507 of the family's 1533-position model. The record is from RNAcentral.
GAUGAACGCUGGCGGCGUGCCUAAUACAUGCAAGUCGAGCGAACGGACGAGAAGCUUUCUUCUCUGAUGUUAGCGGCGGACGGGUGAGUAACACGUGGAUAACCUACCUAUAAGACUGGGAUAACUUCGGGAAACCGGAGCUAAUACCGGAUAAUAUUUUGAACCGCAUGGUUCAAAAGUGAAAGACGGUCUUGCUGUCACUUAUAGCUGGUUCCGCGCUGCAUUAGCUAGUUGGUAAGGUAACGGCUUACCAAGGCAACGAUGCAUAGCCGACCUGAGAGGGUGAUCGGCCACACUGGAACUGAGACACGGUCCAGACUCCUACGGGAGGCAGCAGUAGGGAAUCUUCGGCAAUGGGCGAAAGCCUGACGGAGCAACGCCGCGUGAGUGAUGAAGGUCUUCGGAUCGUAAAACUCUGUUAUUAGGGAAGAACAUAUGUGUAAGUAACUGUGCACAUCUUGACGGUACCUAAUCAGAAAGCCACGGCUAACUACGUG